This is a non-coding RNA of Sus scrofa (pig), 5034 nucleotides long. Lineage: Eukaryota; Metazoa; Chordata; Mammalia; Artiodactyla; Suidae. The record is from RefSeq and is a predicted model, not a curated record.
CACUGGGGGAGGAGAACCACCCCCCACAGGUACUGAGCGGGGAGAGCCCGUCCCUUUCAGUUCCUGAGGAAGGAAGAUCUGCCCUAUGGCCUGAGGAGGCUCUCAGAUGUGGUCGCUGUCGGCGGAUCCCACUGCCAUUUGUGCAGCCUGCGGGUCGUGCUCUCGGGUGUGUCCCUGUGGCCACUGAGCCUCCUUCGGAUGGGCUGGCUGGCUGUCCCCUGCACAUGGAUGAUGUCACCACCAGGGGUGACACAGGCCUGUUCUGGCUCAGCUUCCUGGCCUCAGGGUCUGUGCCCAGCACCAGGGCACUGUCCUGUGCCCCGUGAGCCUCUCCUCUCUCCUCUGGGGCUGGCAAGAGCUCCCUGCGGCGUCCGCAGGUAAAGGGGCCGCGGGGCCGCGCCCUCCUUCCACCCCGAGCCGUGACCUGGUCUCUUCCCAGUUGGCAGGAUCAGUGUGUAGCUUGUCUCUCUGCCAGCAGCACACCGGGGGUGUCCUCUGGGGGACUCCGUGGAAGGGAGCAGCUUCCUCCAGGGCGGCCGGAGCGCCUCGCCCGUGGCCCUUGACCUCCCUCUGGCGGCUUCCUGGCGGUGCCCGUGCGGCCAGGAUGGGGCAGGAGGCCGCGCCCUCCCAGGGAAGUGCCAUCGGCUGUCCAGACCGGCGGGGGAGGGGGUGGAGGGCGGACGGGCAGUGUCCUUUCAGCCCUAUGCACAGAUCGGAGGCGCAGGACCCAGCUCCCGUCAGGGCAGGAGGAGUCUCUGGCCCGGGCCUCCCCCGCCUGGGCCCCCGCGCCCUGAGCGCCUCCGAUCGCAUCGCACUGAACCCUUAACCCUGGGGGGUCGGUGAAGUCCAGCCCCGUGGAGCCUGGAGUGUCUGAGCCGCUCAGGACUGGAAGGGAAGCGUCUUGAGAGAAGGACGCUGCUGCCUCCCGCCCCCGCCUUCUUCUGUCCCCCGUCCUCCCUCCCCUCCCCCCAACCUGUCCUAGUUAAUAGACUUGGAGGGGGACCAGCGACUAACUAAACAGGAACGAGGAGGUGCUGCUGUCGGUGGAAGCAGAGGCCGGGAGGAGCCCAGGGGCGGGGAGGCGUCCAUGUCCUCUGGGGGGUGGGGGGGUCAGAGGAGACCCUGGGGUCAGAGAAGACCCUGGGGAGGCCCGCUGGAAUCACCCAGAAGAAGAGGCCUCCCCCAGGGCCUUCAGUGACCGACCUCAGGGCCUCCGCGUGUCCUGGCCUUGGCUGAGGCCCGGCUUCCGCGCACUUGAAGACCAAGCUGCAUUUCUAGUCCCCAAGUCCCUGAAGAGAUGUGAGGACAACUGGUGCCGGCCUCCUGGGGAGUCAGACCGGGCUGCUGAGGGCUGGGCUCCAGGAAUAAACCACCCACACUGCGUACUCCUCAGCCAAGCUCCGUCAGCUGCUUGACGCAAAGGCGGUGCGCACGCACUGAGAGAAAACCAGAGAAUAGAAAAGCUGCGGAGCUGGAGGAAGAAGACUGCCAGGCGGUGCCAGCAGCACUUGGCUGAACAUCCUUCCAAAGCUCUUCUGGGAUUCGGGGCAGCUACAAAUGUGAACAGCCACCUGCCACACCUCAGGAUGGAGGCCGACAGGGUCCACGGAGGAGCUGCCCCGGAGACCACCUAGAGGGUGCCCGUAUCUCUGGUCCGAACACCCCCGAGCUUCCUUCAAGGGCUUCCAAGAAGGCAACCAGGAGAAGGUGUGUUCCCCACCCUCUUAGCAGCCAUCUCUGCCGAUGAGCAAGCUGGCAGCACGGGAACCGGACACUGGGAGACCAAAGUCGCAAGGGAGUGACUGAGGGGGACCCUGCUGGCCUGACAAUGCCCAGAGCAGCUUGGUGCAGCCGCCCGGUAGAGGGCUGGCUCCCUGGUGCUAGAGUCACACCGGCCUCGUUUCUCAAAACGCUCGCUCCACCUCGGAGUUCGGCCACCUCUCCCCCGCCUGCCCUCCGAGGUCGCCGGCCGCCUUCCCGGACCCCUGCCUGCAUCGCGCCCCCCCGGUCCCAGUGCCCGGGUGCUGGGUGGGGUACCUUAGCCUUUUCCUGCAGCGCCCGCGGCGCAGGGAGGUGGGACUGACCUCGGGCUGGAGCUGAGCAAGCAGCAUCAUCAGAGAGAAGGUCGCCAAGGGCCCGCUCUCGGUCCCCCAAGGAGCGGGGCCCGUGGGCGGCAGGGUGGAGUGAGGGAGCAGCUUGUGUAAAGAAAUCAUUGAGAAAUUUCUAGCGUAACUGGAGGGAAUUAUAAACGACAUCGACUUGGAGCGUAAACUUGCUGCCUAGUUACGAGCCACAGCAAAGGUCUCCAGGACGCGUCUUACAGAACAAACAGAAGACAAGGGCGGGAGCUUCCCGAGCGCAGGGAGGGGCGCUCUGGAUGCCCAGGGGGUGGCCCUUCUUCAUUCUAACGCCACACGGGCCCUGCUUUCACCUGGGCCAACCUGAGGGGUCCUGGGCAACUGGGGGUCCUGACCUGGGGUCGAGGCUAGUUAAAGCACCUGGCAUGCUGACUUGGUUGUGACCUUCUGCUCGUCACACGAGUGAAAUGCAGAUUCCUGAAGUCUGUGUGGCACAAAGCCCCUGGCCCUGGUGGAUCUCCUCUGGGAGCCACUGGGGCUCUGCCUCUGGGCCCUGAGCCUCGGGAACAAGCCCCACCCGGCCCCCAGCAGCACCUGGUCCUUCGCCACCACCUCCAGGGCAUGAGUGAGCUCCGGCCAGAGGGCCUCCCUCUGCACAGGAGUAUGUGCGGAGCCUGCUUGCCUGAGGAAGGGCGGUUGCAGGUGUUGGGGUGCAGCAGGUUUGGGGGGCCAGGCUCUGGUAAGAGUUCAGCCUCCCCUCGGACUGGGAAAAUGCCGAGACGUGCCAGCAGCGCUUUCCACGAGGUGGUGGCUGAAUCCAGGACCGGACCUGGAGACAGCUGACCCAGGGGUCCGGGCCCCUCUCUGGGCAGGGCAAUCGCAGGCACACCCUUAAUAGCCAGAAACACCCCCAGACGUUGGCGAAUGCCCGGGAGUAAACGCCUGCCAGGGCAGCCGCUCCAGCCCCAUGAGGGGGCUGGUCUUUUCUCAAGGGCUGCUUCCUUCCAGCCAGAGUGGAAAUUGAAUCAGGACCAGCUGAAAAACUUGCAGAACCCCAGUGGCAAAUCAAAACACGGGGCUCCUGGUUCGAAUAUGAUGUGAUGCCAGGUGUUGGGCCAGACGCGGGCCUGCUGGCCUUGGCCGCCUGCCCAUGAAGCUGGUUGGCGCUGAAUCAAAUACAAUGCCCCCGAAACAGUGAAUCACCAACAAGCUGCAGAAAUCUCUCAUAGCAAUGAUUUCAAUAGACUCUUUUAAACUUGGUGGCCCACGGGUGGCUGGUGUAGGGACCCCAGUCUGAGCUCCGCCCUGUGCCGAGUAGCUUCGCCUUUCCCAAAGCCUGGCCUCCACAGGACGAGAGAGACCCAAGGCAGCGGCGUGGCAGCAGGAUGGGCCUCUCUGGAAGCAGGUACCUUUUUAGGUGGUGUGUUCCUUGAAGGCAAGAAUGAUGUUUCACAAUAUACACCCAGUGCCUAUCACAGCUUCUUCUACUGUGGUUAAAACAAAAAAAAAAAAAAAGAGCGUUACCAUAAACCCUCCGGCCAUUUCUAAGCUGCUUCAGGAAUGUAAAUAACAUUCACCUUGUUACUGAAUCAUCUCCAGAUCUUUGCAACCUCACAAAACUGCAACUGUCCCGUUAAACAACCCCUGCCACCACCUAGCCCUCAGGCCCCAGCAAACACCCUGCGAAAGAAUCUAUGCCACUUACUAAUCCAGGUGCCUCAUAAGAGUGGAAUGACACAGUCCUUGGGGUUUUUUGUAAAUGUACAUUUUUGGGUAACUUUUACUUCGCUUAAUGGCCUCAAAAUCUCUCCACGUUGCAGCACAUCGCAGAAAUCCCCCCUUUUUAUUUGUCAUGGUCACUCCUAUUAUCUUUCUUCUAGUUUAUUGACAUACAGUGUUCGGUAGGCUUAAGGCGUGUGGCACAAGGAGGUGACCCGCCCGCCUCAUGAAAUGACCGUCACGGUAAGUUUACUGGCCACCCACGUGUCACACAGCUUCAAAGCCAAAGAGAAAGACCUUUGUGCCUGUGAUGAGAACUCUUUGGCGCCUCCGGCCGUGCUACUUCUAUCAGUGCCUGUGUGGUACGUCCUGUCACGAGCACUUACCCGUCUUAGAACUGGAAGUUUGUACCUUCAGAUGAACCGCACCCAACCCUCUCUCCCCUCACCCCUGGGGACCCACAAAUCCGAUCUCUUUUUUAGGCGUUCGUUCGUUUGCUUUUGAAGCCCUUCCUUGCUCCACCUCCAGAAUGAGUCCACUGCACAUACGCGCCGCCUUUUGCUUAUCCAUCCACUUGUCUCCGGACCCUGGAGGCGCUGCCAUGGUUCAGCCGUCACGUUGCUCUGAACAUGGGUGUACAACCAGUAGCUUUGACGCCGCCACCCCAUUUUCCACAGCAUCCGCACCGUCUUUCAGCUCGCCUACAGCGCACAGUCCGCCUCUCCAGCUCCUCAACGUUCUCACCAACACGUGCUGUUUUCUGCUGUUUUUAUAUUAACUAUCCUAAUAAGUGCAAGGUGAUCUUAUGGUGGAUUUGAUUUGCAUUUUCCUCAUGAUUAGUGAUAUUGAGCAUCUGGUUUUUUUGUUUGGUUUUGGUUUUUUCUGUUUGGUUUUAUUUUGCUUUUUAGGGCCACAGCCACGGCAUAUGGAGGUUCCUAGGCUAGGGGUCCAAUCGGAGCUGCAGCUGCAGGCCACAGCCACAGCCACAGCCACAGAACAUCAGAUCUGCCACCUACACCACAGCUCAUGGCCACGCUGGAUCCUUAACCCACUGAGUGAGGCCAGGGAUCGAACCCCCAACCUCCUGGUUCUUAGUCGGAUUCAUUUCUGCUGCACCACGAUGGGAACUGUGCUAUUGAGCAUCUGUUCAUGUGUCUGUUGGCCAUUCGUAUAUCUUCAUUGGAGAGAUGUUUAUUCAGGUCCUUUGCUCAUUUUUAAAUAAAGUUCUUGUUGUUGA